RNAcentral lists this ribosomal RNA (1411 nucleotides) under human gut metagenome. Its description in RNAcentral is "bacterial SSU rRNA". It matches the Rfam family "Bacterial small subunit ribosomal RNA". The record is from RNAcentral.
AGAGUUUGACCUGGCUCAGGAUGAACGCUGGCGGCAUGCCUAAUACAUGCAAGUCGAACGAAGUCUUUAGGAAGCUUGCUUCCAAAGAGACUUAGUGGCGAACGGGUGAGUAACACGUAGGUAACCUGCCCAUGUGCCCGGGAUAACUGCUGGAAACGGUAGCUAAAACCGGAUAGGUAUGAGGGAGGCAUCUUCCUCAUAUUAAAGCACCUUCGGGUGUGAACAUGGAUGGACCUGCGGCGCAUUAGCUGGUUGGUGAGGUAACGGCCCACCAAGGCGAUGAUGCGCAGCCGACCUGAGAGGGUGAACGGCCACAUUGGGACUGAGACACGGCCCAAACUCCUACGGGAGGCAGCAGUAGGGAAUCUUCCACAAUGGACGCAAGUCUGAUGGAGCAACGCCGCGUGAGUGAAGAAGGUUUUCGGAUCGUAAAGCUCUGUUGUAAGUCAAGAACGGGUGUGAGAGUGGAAAGUUCACACUGUGACGGUAGCUUACCAGAAAGGGACGGCUAACUACGUGCCAGCAGCCGCGGUAAUACGUAGGUCCCGAGCGUUGUCCGGAUUUAUUGGGCGUAAAGCGAGCGCAGGCGGUUUGAUAAGUCUGAAGUUAAAGGCUGUGGCUCAACCAUAGUUCGCUUUGGAAACUGUCAAACUUGAGUGCAGAAGGGGAGAGUGGAAUUCCAUGUGUAGCGGUGAAAUGCGUAGAUAUAUGGAGGAACACCAGUGGCGAAGGCGACGAUCUGGCCUGUAACUGACGCUGAGGCUCGAAAGCAUGGGUAGCGAACAGGAUUAGAUACCCUGGUAGUCCACGCCGUAAACGAUGAGUACUAAGUGUUGGAGGGUUUCCGCCCUUCAGUGCCGCGAGCCUAACGCUUAAGUAUUCCGCCUGGGGAGUACGCCGGCAACGGUGAAACUCAAAGGAAUUGACGGGGGCCCGCACAAGCGGAGGAACAUGUGGUUUAAUUCGAUGAUACGCGAGGAACCUUACCCGGGCUUGAAUUGCAGAGGAAGGAUUUAGAGAUAAUGACGCCCUUCGGGGUCUCUGUGAAGGUGCUGCAUGGUUGUCGUCAGCUCGUGUUGUGAGGUGUCGGCUUAAGUGCCAUAACGAGCGCAACCCCUCUCCUUAGUUGCCAUCAGGUUAAGCUGGGCACUCUGGGGACACUGCCACCGUAAGGUGUGAGGAAGGUGGGGACGACGUCAAAUCAGCACGGCCCUUACGUCCGGGGCUACACACGUGUUACAAUGGCAGGUACAGAGAGACGGUCCCUUGCAAAAUGGAUCAAAUCCUUAAAGCCUGUCUCAGUUCGGACUGGGGUCUGCAACCCGACCCCACGAAGCUGGAUUCGCUAGUAAUCGCGCAUCAGCCAUGGCGCGGUGAAUACGUUCCCGGGCCUUGCACACACCGCCCGUCA